UGAUUGGUACUGUAAUACGAGUAUUACAUGGUAAUUCACAUUGAGGAUAUGACUGAUACAUACAUACAUACAUGCAUCCAUACAUACACAGACUGAUAGACCAAAAGAUUACACAUGAAUGAAACUUUGGAAAAACAAAUAUUCCCAAAGAGAUUACAAGGAUUAAAGAAUAACAAAUCAAAAAUUUUCACCAAAAUAUAACAUUUUACACAGAAGUCAUCACUGACUUGGGGAGGAAGGACUUAGUAAUUUUAAACCUUUUUAAUCCAUUCAUGGUUGAUUGAUUGUUCUUCCUAAGGCUUUGGUGGUUCUGCAGCAGCAGAUUCCUCCACCUUUGGAGGAGGAGCCUCAGCAGCAGCUUCUGGCUCAGUAGGUUUAGGUUUUUUAACCUCCUCUUUCUUCUCCUCCACCACCACCUCUUCUUUUUUCUCUUCUUCGAUCACUAUCUCCUUUUCUUUUACAACACCACUUGUUUCCUCCUCAGUUUUUGUUGCUUCUGCUGGCGGUGGCAGCGGCUCUACCGUUUCCUCAGUCACAAUGAAUGUUGAGACCUUCUCGAACACAAAGAAAACUGGACCUGAAAC
Molecule: long non-coding RNA, 584 nt
Filed under: Malus domestica (apple)
Lineage: Eukaryota; Viridiplantae; Streptophyta; Magnoliopsida; Rosales; Rosaceae
Description: long non-coding RNA (MDOM_LNC005250)
Source: RNAcentral